RNAcentral lists this ribosomal RNA (588 nucleotides) under uncultured bacterium. RNAcentral describes it as "bacterial SSU rRNA". It matches the Rfam family "Bacterial small subunit ribosomal RNA", at positions 8 to 586 of the family's 1533-position model. The record is from RNAcentral.
AGAGUUUGAUCAUGGCUCAGGAUGAACGCUAGCUACAGGCUUAACACAUGCAAGUCGAGGGGCAGCAUCAUCAAAGCUUGCUUUGAUGGAUGGCGACCGGCGCACGGGUGAGUAACACGUAUCCAACCUGCCGACAACACUGGGAUAGCCUUUCGAAAGAAAGAUUAAUACCGGAUGGCAUAGUUUUCCCGCAUGGGAUAAUUAUUAAAGAAUUUCGGUUGUCGAUGGGGAUGCGUUCCAUUAGGCAGUUGGCGGGGUAACGGCCCACCAAACCUACGAUGGAUAGGGGUUCUGAGAGGAAGGUCCCCCACAUUGGAACUGAGACACGGUCCAAACUCCUACGGGAGGCAGCAGUGAGGAAUAUUGGUCAAUGGACGAGAGUCUGAACCAGCCAAGUAGCGUGAAGGAUGACUGCCCUAUGGGUUGUAAACUUCUUUUAUACGGGAAUAAAGUGAGCCACGUGUGGCUUUUUGUAUGUACCGUAUGAAUAAGGAUCGGCUAACUCCGUGCCAGCAGCCGCGGUAAUACGGAGGAUUCGAGCGUUAUCCGGAUUUAUUGGGUUUAAAGGGAGCGUAGGCGGGUUGUUAA